RNAcentral lists this ribosomal RNA (440 nucleotides) under uncultured bacterium. Its description in RNAcentral is "partial 16S ribosomal RNA". It matches the Rfam family "Bacterial small subunit ribosomal RNA", at positions 338 to 795 of the family's 1533-position model. The record is from RNAcentral.
CCUACGGGUGGCUGCAGUGGGGGAUAUUGCACAAUGGGCGGAACCCUGAUGCAGCGACGCCGCGUGGGUGAAGGAGCGUUUCGGCGCGUAAAGCCCUAUCGGCAGGGAAGAAGAUGACGGUAUCUGACCAAGAAGCCCCGGCUAACUACGUGCCAGCAGCCGCGGGAAUACGGAGGGGGCAAGCGUUAUCCGGAUGUACUGGGUGUAAAGGGGGCGCAGACGGCAAUGCAAGCCAGGCGUGAAAGCCCGGGGCCAAACCCCGGGACUGCACUUGGAACUGGAUGGCUGGAGUACAGGAGGGGCAGGCGGAAUUCCGAGUGUAGCGGUGAAAUGCGUAGAUAUUAGGAGGAACACCGGUGGCGAAGGCGGCCUGCUGGACUGUGACUGACGUUGAGGCCCGAAGGCGUGGGGAGCAAACAGGAUUAGAUACCCUUGUAGUC